AAGUUUAUAAUUUAAUUAAAAUGUGAGCCUUCAAAGCUUAAUAUAGAACAACCGUUUCUUGAACUUG
RNAcentral lists this transfer RNA (67 nucleotides) under Ambigolimax valentianus. Its description in RNAcentral is "tRNA-Trp". Lineage: Eukaryota; Metazoa; Mollusca; Gastropoda; Stylommatophora; Limacidae. The record is from RNAcentral.